UGGGCUGGGGACUCCGGGCUCCUAGGAAGACGGGGAAGUUCUUUGUCAAGCAACAGAUGUUCAGGGUAAAAUUCCCUUUCUCUUCUUCCAGUUAUGGAGAGUUGAAAGGAACGAGGCGCUGCCCCUCCCCAACUUCCAGCUGGGCGCCUGUACCCCAGCCCUAGACCUCAACCCCAAGAUGCGCUCUUAAACCAAAUUCAUCCCCACUUACCCAAACUUGGAAUCUGGUUACAAACACAAGAGGCUAGAAAGAAACCUGGGUGGCUGAGGUCCACUAGAAACGAGGGCACAAACCCAAAUGUUGGGGAGGGCCCAACAAGUAGAUAUGACGAGGGGCCAGCUAAACUGAGCGGCCCCGUGUAUGCCAGCUGCCAGGACUACAGGCCCCAACCUGGCAGAUAGUCCCGUUACCUCCCCCGCCAAAUCAGGAUUUCAGAGGUCCGUGUUUCCAUUUCUGAACCACGGUAACUCAUUUUACAAAAACACUGCGCAAUUCAAACAAAUCUUUCCUAUACAUUGAAUGCUAGGUAAUGCUACCAAUAUAGAGAAGUUCUGUAGAACUUUCUGCAGCCAUAAAAAUGUUCUAUCUCUGGGCUGUCCAAUAGUGGAGUGGGUAUUGAGACACUUGAUAUGUACCUAGUGUAACUAAGGUUUUGAAAUUUUCAUGUAUGUUCAAACUUAAAUAGCUACAUGUGGCCAGUGGUUGUCAUGCUGGAUGGUACAGGUCUAGAGCAAUGACUCUGUGUCAUAGCCUUUGGAGACUCAUUGAAAACCAAGGGCCUCCUUCCAGGAAAAUGUGCAUAUAAUUACUGACAUGAAUGUUUGAUUAAAGUUUCAGGAUGUUCAUGGAUUGUCUGAAGGCCUACUCUUGUGCCUCAGGUUCAGCAUCCCUAGAAAAUUAAACCUGUGGUCGAAGAGAGGAGCCCCCUGGACAGAGGCUUUACUAUGGCCCAGCUGGACACUGCUGUGCGUCUUUUAACCGCUCGUUUGCAAGCCCAGUAAACAAGAGAAGCGAGAGUAGCCUCAAACAGGCUGAGAUGUCGUCCUCACCAGGCUUCUAAUUGGAGCCACCUGUGGUCUGCCUUGACUCAGGGUACCACCCCCCAGUAAUGUUGCCCAGGGCUCCCUGGCAGGGGCAAGGCAGGGACAUGUGGAAGCAGUAGACUGAGGACAUGUGGGCAGUUUAUUCUUUGAUGUCCUUGGAAGAGUGGUCACAGAUUGCAUGAUCUAAGUCAACAACCAGAACAGAUAACCCUCAGGAGAAUGAAGGUCAUUUCAACUAACAUGGUAAGUUCCUAUGAGAGGACUUUAAAUCAGCGCUCUCUCUCUCUCUCUCUCUCUCUCUCAGAUCUUUUCUUUACAUCUGUGGGUACCCCUGCCAGGCAACCGAAUAAUACAAAGCACAUAGCAUAUAGGAGAAUGGCUUCUUUCUAAGCACCCCCCAAAUGAUGGAACUACCUAGAGAUUAGUGCCUUUUUUGUGGGGAAGGCUUUGAUCCUUGUGCCAUUAGAGACCAAGGUUGGAGGAAGCCAAGCCCACAAUCAGAAUGUAAUUGAAGUAUGUUACCUAUAAUAGGUUCAGAUGUUUGUGAUCUUCAGCACUUUAUGAAUUCUGCAGCAGAUGGGCGAGGGCCAGGUAGCGGGCGAGAACAGACUGGGUAAGGCAGGCUGGCACUCUGACAAGGGCAGCCCCAGCUGUGGUCCGGGUGUUAUUCAGCACGCCCACCCACUGCACCAGCAGCCUGCCUUCCCGAGCUCGUGGCCACGGCCGCCUUAAUGAAGAGUGGAGGUAAGCAUGAAUCCCGGCUUUCCAGGGAUCGCAACAUUUGAGAAACCCAGAAGAAUCGACAUGAUGGAAAUGGUGCCAAGUUCUUCUGCCUUUUGCUUUUCAACAAAAAGAGAAAGAAAGAAGGAGAGAGAAGAGAGGGAAUCUGCUAAUAAAAUGCAUGUCUAAACACUUUCUAAUUUUCCUAGGCUUUUAAUUUUUUUCCCUCAAAAAUUCCAUACUGGAGAGGGAAAAGCAGAGUAACAGCUGACAAAAGGAAUCUUGAAUGGAUACAAGAAUUUACGUGAGCUGGUGUAAUGGGCAAGAUACUGUAGUUGGAGUUUCAAAUCCUCGCCCUGUCAGUUUCCCAUUGUGUGACCAUGAGCCAGGUUCUCAAGCGGCCCAGCUUCCUGUUUCCCCACCUGUCAAAUGACCAAAAUCGUGUAUGUCUCCCCAGCUGUUUGCCUCGCAAAAUGAGGUAAUAUGUUAGUAGCUAAUACAGUAAAAUUUUGGAUUGUGAGUAACUUGUUCUGCGAGUGUUCCACAAGAUGAGCAAACAUUUCUAAUAAAUUUUCACUUGAUAAACAA
Long non-coding RNA from Herpailurus yagouaroundi (jaguarundi), 2352 nucleotides. RefSeq lists it as uncharacterized. Lineage: Eukaryota; Metazoa; Chordata; Mammalia; Carnivora; Felidae. The transcript is spliced from 2 exons. The record is from RefSeq and is a predicted model, not a curated record.